GCCUUUUCACACUACGUAGAAACAACAUGCUGGGGUAGGAACACCUGCUGCGGUUGCCUAAAACCCUAAAAAGAUACCUUCAUUCCCACACAACAGGAAUCGGUCUAGAGGAUACAAUACCCACAUUCCCAAAAGGUGAGAGAUUGUGGGACUUGGAAAUGUUCUGUGGCUCUUGUGUCAGAAUCCUUGGAAGAGGUGACAUAGGUAAAGAAUUCUGGACUCCACCCUCCAUGAGUCAAGGUACACCCCUGCUGUGGUUUAAAUGUGACUGCCCUCCCAGAGAUGGAGAUAAUUUGGUUCCGGGAACUGGUCUAAGGUGAGCUGCAGAAAGGGAUGAACUCACACAUCAUCAUUCC
Peromyscus maniculatus bairdii (prairie deer mouse) is the source of this 356-nucleotide non-coding RNA. The record is from RefSeq and is a predicted model, not a curated record. Lineage: Eukaryota; Metazoa; Chordata; Mammalia; Rodentia; Cricetidae.